RNAcentral lists this unclassified non-coding RNA (652 nucleotides) under Hevea brasiliensis (rubber tree). The record is from RNAcentral. Lineage: Eukaryota; Viridiplantae; Streptophyta; Magnoliopsida; Malpighiales; Euphorbiaceae.
AGCGUCUUCGCACGCGCUUUUGACCGCUGGUCAACAGUCAUACCUAUGACUUUCACGCAGACCGAUUCUUUCACCACCGCCGAUAUCAGGAUCGGGUUUUUUAGUGGUGACCACGGUGACGGAGAGCCGUUUGAUGGGGUUUUGGGGACUUUGGCCCACGCUUUCUCCCCGCCAAGCGGGCGGCUUCAUUUGGACCUCGAUGAGAACUGGGUGGACUCCGGCGAUGUUAGCACCUCGCCGAUAUUAUCGGCGGUGGAUCUAGAGUCAGUUGCCGUGCACGAAAUUGGGCAUUUGUUAGGGUUGGGACAUUCCUCCGUUGAAGAGGCGAUCAUGUACCCUAGCAUUCCUUCACGAACGAGAAAGGUUGAAUUGGCGCAAGACGAUAUCGACGGGAUACAGCAGCUUUACGGUAAGAACCCGAAUUAUAACGGGACGUCAACCUCGUCCAUUCAGGAGAGGGAGACCAGUGGGGCCGAUUAUGUACAUUCUAGGUGGAGCCUUAUCAGUUUCUUGAUGCGUGUUGGAUUUCUUUUGCUGCUUUUGUAAUUUUUUUAUUAUUAUUUUGAAUUUGUUGGAUUUAUUUGUAUGCAGAUACUGUCACAGUAUACCAUAUACCAUUUUUACGAUUUAUAUUAUUAUUAUUAUAUAAAAA